RNAcentral lists this ribosomal RNA (274 nucleotides) under uncultured bacterium. Its description in RNAcentral is "partial 16S ribosomal RNA". It matches the Rfam family "Bacterial small subunit ribosomal RNA", at positions 523 to 796 of the family's 1533-position model. The record is from RNAcentral.
AUACGGAGGGUGCGAGCGUUAAUCGGAAUUACUGGGCGUAAAGCGUACGUAGGCGGUUUGCUAAGUCAGAUGUGAAAGCCCCGGGCUUAACCUGGGAACUGCAUUUGAUACUGGCAGACUAGAGUAUGAUAGAGGGGGGUAGAAUUCCUGGUGUAGCGGUGAAAUGCGUAGAUAUCAGGAGGAAUACAAGUGGCGAAGGCGGCCCCCUGGAUCAAUACUGACGCUGAGGUACGAAAGCGUGGGGAGCGAACAGGAUUAGAAACCCUAGUAGUCC